UGGGGAAUUUUGGACAAUGGGCGAAAGCCUGAUCCAGCAAUGCCGCGUGUGUGAAGAAGGCCCUUCGGGUUGUAAAGCACUUUUGUCCGGAAAGAAAUCCUUGGCUCUAAUACAGUCGGGGGAUGACGGUACCGGAAGAAUAAGCACCGGCUAACUACGUGCCAGCAGCCGCGGUAAUACGUAGGGUGCAAGCGUUAAUCGGAAUUACUGGGCGUAAAGCGUGCGCAGGCGGUUUGCUAAGACCGGUGUGAAAUCCCCGGGCUCAACCUGGGAACUGCAUUGGUGACUGGCAGGCUAGAGUAUGGCAGAGGGGGGUAGAAUUCCACGUGUAGCAGUGAAAUGCGUAGAGAUGUGGAGGAAUACCGAUGGCGAAGGCAGCCCCCUGGGCCAAUACUGACGCUCAUGCACGAAAGCGUGGGGAAAAACAGGAUUAGAUACCCUGGGUAGUCCACGCCCUAAACGAUGUCAACUAGUUGUUGGGGAUUCAUUUCCUAGUAACGUAGCUAACGCGUGAAGUUGACCGCCUGGGGAGUACGGUCGCAAGAUUAAAACUCAAUGAAUUGACGGGGUCAUAGCUGUUUCCU
This 584-nucleotide ribosomal RNA is filed under the name uncultured bacterium. RNAcentral describes it as "partial 16S ribosomal RNA". It matches the Rfam family "Bacterial small subunit ribosomal RNA", at positions 355 to 1375 of the family's 1533-position model. The record is from RNAcentral.